GAAAUGCGAUAAGUAAUGUGAAUUGCAGAAUUCAGUGAUUCAUCGAAUCUUUGAACGCACAUUGCGCCCCCUGGUAUUCCGGGGGGCAUGCCUGUUCGAGCGUCAUUUCACCACUCAAGCCUCGCUUGGUAUUGGGCGACGCGGUCCGCCGCGCGCCUCAAAUCGACCGGCUGGGUCUUCCGUCCCCUCAGCGUUGUGGAAACUAUUCGCUAAAGGGUGCCGCGGGAGGUCACGCCGCAAAACAACCCCAUUUCUAAGGUUGACCUCGGAUCAGGUAGGGAUACCCGCUGAACUUAAGC
RNAcentral lists this unclassified non-coding RNA (299 nucleotides) under plant metagenome. Its description in RNAcentral is "partial contains 5.8S ribosomal RNA, internal transcribed spacer 2, and large subunit ribosomal RNA". The stretch from base 1 to 105 matches the Rfam family "5.8S ribosomal RNA", at positions 50 to 154 of the family's 154-position model. The record is from RNAcentral.